This 148-nucleotide non-coding RNA is filed under the name Gorilla gorilla gorilla (western lowland gorilla). The record is from Rfam by way of RNAcentral. Lineage: Eukaryota; Metazoa; Chordata; Mammalia; Primates; Hominidae.
GCCAGGUGUGGUGGUGCAUGCCUGUAAUCCCAGCUACUCAGGAGGCUGAGGCAGGAGAAUUGCUUGAACCUGGGAGGCAGAGAUUGCAGUGAGCCAAGAUCGUGCCACUGCACUCCAGCCUGGGUGACAGAGCGAGAUUCUGUCUCAA